AUUGAACGCUGGCGGCAGGCCUAACACAUGCAAGUCGAGCGAGCGGCGGACGGGUGGGUAAUGUAUGGGGAACUGGCUGAUAGAGGGGGAUAACUACUGGAAACGGUGGCUACUACCGCAUACUAUCCGAUGAGCCCACAUGGGAUUAGCUAUUAGGUGGGGUAAAGGCUCACCAAGGCGAAGAUGCCUAGCUGGUCUGAGAGGAUGAUCGGCCACAAUGGGACUGAGAAACGGCCCAGACUCCUACGGGAGGCAGCAGUGGGGAAUAUUGCGCAAGGGGCGAAAGCCUGAUGCAGCCAUGCCGCGUGUAUGAAGAAGGCUUUCGGGUUGUAAAGUACUUUCAGCGGGGAGGCGUUACCCGCCGAGGAAGCCACGGCUAACUCCGUGCCAGCAGCCGCGGUAAUUC
Molecule: ribosomal RNA, 406 nt
Filed under: uncultured bacterium
Lineage: Bacteria
Description: partial 16S ribosomal RNA
Rfam family: Bacterial small subunit ribosomal RNA
Source: RNAcentral